UGACCUCGGAUCAGGUAGGGAUACCCGCUGAACUUAAGCAUAUCAAUAAGCGGAGGAAGA
RNAcentral lists this ribosomal RNA (60 nucleotides) under Paraconiothyrium brasiliense. RNAcentral's name for it is "partial 28S ribosomal RNA". It matches the Rfam family "Eukaryotic large subunit ribosomal RNA", at positions 1 to 60 of the family's 3401-position model. RNAcentral also lists the same sequence under 1 other name. Lineage: Eukaryota; Fungi; Ascomycota; Dothideomycetes; Pleosporales; Didymosphaeriaceae. The record is from RNAcentral.